RNAcentral lists this ribosomal RNA (468 nucleotides) under uncultured bacterium. RNAcentral describes it as "partial 16S ribosomal RNA". It matches the Rfam family "Bacterial small subunit ribosomal RNA", at positions 28 to 507 of the family's 1533-position model. The record is from RNAcentral.
GACGAACGCUGGCGGCGUGCUUAACACAUGCAAGUCGAACGGAAAGGCCCUGCUUUUGUGGGGUGCUCGAGUGGCGAACGGGUGAGUAACACGUGAGUAACCUGCCCUUGACUUUGGGAUAACUUCAGGAAACUGGGGCUAAUACCGGAUAGGAGCUCCUGCUGCAUGGUGGGGGUUGGAAAGUUUCGGUGGUUGGGGAUGGACUCGCGGCUUAUCAGCUUGUUGGUGGGGUAGUGGCUUACCAAGGCUUUGACGGGUAGCCGGCCUGAGAGGGUGACCGGCCACAUUGGGACUGAGAUACGGCCCAGACUCCUACGGGAGGCAGCAGUGGGGAAUAUUGCACAAUGGGCGGAAGCCUGAUGCAGCAACGCCGCGUGCGGGAUGACGGCCUUCGGGUUGUAAACCGCUUUCGCCUGUGACGAAGCGUGAGUGACGGUAAUGGGUAAAGAAGCACCGGCUAACUACGUG